RNAcentral lists this ribosomal RNA (273 nucleotides) under uncultured bacterium. RNAcentral describes it as "partial 16S ribosomal RNA". It matches the Rfam family "Bacterial small subunit ribosomal RNA", at positions 523 to 796 of the family's 1533-position model. The record is from RNAcentral.
AUACGUAUGUCGCAAGCGUUAUCCGGAAUUAUUGGGCGUAAAGCGAGUCUAGGCGGCUUGUUAAGUCAGAUGUGAAAAUGCGGGGCUCAACUCCGUAUUGCGUUUGAAACUGGCCGGCUAGAGUACUGGAGAGGUGGGCGGAACUACAAGUGUAGAGGUGAAAUUCGUAGAUAUUUGUAGGAAUGCCGAUAGUGAAGACAGCUCACUGGACAGAUACUGACGCUAAAGCUCGAAAGCGUGGGGAGCGAACAGGAUUAGAAACCCUAGUAGUCC